UUACAGCCAUAUCACGUUGAAACACCGGUCCUUGGACGAUCACCGAAUUUAAGCAACGUGGAACCUGGUCAGUACCUAGAUGGGUGACCGCUUGGGAAUACUAGGUAAUGUAAG
This is a non-coding RNA of Acanthosepion pharaonis, 114 nucleotides long. The record is from the annotation of a GenBank genome assembly. Lineage: Eukaryota; Metazoa; Mollusca; Cephalopoda; Sepiida; Sepiidae.